Molecule: long non-coding RNA, 1381 nt
Organism: Oncorhynchus keta (chum salmon)
Lineage: Eukaryota; Metazoa; Chordata; Actinopteri; Salmoniformes; Salmonidae
Exons: 2
Source: RefSeq, a predicted model, not a curated record
GUAAGUGGAUCCUCAUGAUGUUCCCUUCCUUUUUUGACCACAUAGGCAUAAUAAUGAUAAUAUCGAUGCGGUAACACAUGGCAGCCGGUGCCAAAUGUAAUAUCUAAAUUACCCUGCAGUAAACGCCUCAACAUCUUGCUGAAUUUAUCUGAACUAACACCGAUCUGCAUUUCUGUCGGUGUCCAGUUUGAAAGUGCUGAACAAAGGCCUAUGUCGCCGCAGCUCGUUUGCUUGCACUUGCUUAUACAUUGAGCUUAGUGUUAAUGGAUGGCAUACCUUCACUAACGCCAUCAGAGUGCGCAGCUGAACACUAUGCUGGAAACACUCGGUUUGUUAUUUUAACUAAAACACAACCAAUCUUUGUUAAAUAUAAAUGCCAAACUUGUUUUUGCAUGGAUUACGGAACGCAGUUAGCUUUUAACAGCUUGGACCGCUAUUUAUUUUCCCGGAAUCCCGCUUAAUUGACAGGUUAAAGUUUGCUCGAAAGAGCCGCUAAACUAGCUAAGCUGCUAACAUAGUCCCAGAUGAGUUUUCCAAUGUUGUCCUCUUUAUCUGGAGAAGUAAAUUAACGGUUCCAGCGCUAUAGGAGCUGUAUCUACUACAUUUAGUUUCCGGACGAACUGGAUUACAGAUUUCCAAUGCAGCAAUUGUUUGCUUGCCGAGGAUUAUAGGCUUGAUGUGGCUUCCUUGAUCACGUAGGUCGCCAGCCUACGUAAGAAACUGGGGGAAACGUAGUGGAAUAUUUACCUUUUCUACGCCGUUGGGUGGACGGCGUUCGCGCAUGUUGGAUGCAUCUAUGUCUUGUCGUUUGUCGUUAUCCGACUGACCGGUGUUGCCCGGAGUUUGUUAGCCAGGGGAGCCAUCGUCUGCCUCUCCUCCCCCAUCGGAUAGCAGAGUCGAAGGAGCACAACAAGAGGAGCAUGGCAAUCAAUGAUGGUCGCAUGUCGUGAGCCAUGGAAGCCGAAGACAGCAUCCUCCUGCAACGCAGUCUCCACUCCCAAUGAGAAAUUGAUGAUAAAAAGAUUGUGGGGGCUGCUUUGUUAGACUUCAGUGCGGCUUUUGACGUUAUCGAUCAUAGUCUGCUGCUGGAAAAACUGACCUGCUCAAAGGGUUCCAGGACUCUGCACACCUCCCAUUCCUCUUGGGUCAGAGCACCAACAGGUGCAUUGACAAUGGCCAGGGUAGAGAUGGUGGCAUCCUUUGACUCAAGAAACCGCUUCAACAUAUAAAAUGUUGAAUUCCACUUUGUAGUGCAGUCUUGUUUAGGCCUCAGCUCAGGCAUCCCCAUCUGGCGUUGUGUAGACUUUAGUUUUUCAGCACAUACUGUGCUCCUGUGGAAGUAUUCCACGGCUGCUUUCACUUUAUCCACAGUGGGCUUCAU